Molecule: non-coding RNA, 71 nt
Organism: Orycteropus afer afer
Lineage: Eukaryota; Metazoa; Chordata; Mammalia; Tubulidentata; Orycteropodidae
Source: the annotation of a RefSeq genome assembly
GCACUGGUGGUUCAGUGGUAGAAUGCUUGCCUUUCAUGAAGGAGACCUGGCUUCAAUUCCCAGCCAGUGCA